Long non-coding RNA from Pipra filicauda (Wire-tailed manakin), 561 nucleotides. RefSeq lists it as uncharacterized. NCBI's taxonomy places the organism in Eukaryota, Metazoa, Chordata, Aves, Passeriformes, Pipridae. The transcript is spliced from 2 exons. The record is from RefSeq and is a predicted model, not a curated record.
UCCCUCUGCAGCCUCAAGGCGCAAUGCCCUGCACCUGCAGGCUGCAGAUGGCUUACCUGGGUGACCAGACCACAUUUUAAUGUGUGUUUCAAAUGGCUGACUGUGUGAAAACUCAGCUGAAUGACAGUUGGCGUCCUUGAAGCUGACUGUAUUUAAAUGUGGAGGAUAGCAGUUGGCCUGGGCUGCAGGUUGUUUGAUGCUGCUCCUGGCAGUGAGUGCCAGCUGCUGCACCACUUUGCAGUAUGGUGGAAUUUGUUUUCCAGUGAGGAAAAGGACCAUGGCCAAAAUUAUCUCUUUCUGACACAGUUUACCUAAGUUGAAUUCUUUUAUAAUGGAAAAUACUGUAUUAGUGUACAUAGGAUGAAAAUGCACAUUCAUGGAAUGAAAUGCCACAACUUUACAGCAAUAAUAGCAGAAAUCAAGAGAAGAGGUAAAUCUGGCUCCAGGAGAGCUUCUUGUGACCACCACAGAACAUUCUCUACAGACCAGUUACAUGCUGCAUGUUUGUAUCUCGCAUGACAGUGUGAGCAAGCUGACUAAUAAAAUUAUAAUAGUGUUAAA